UAGGGAAUCUUCGGCAAUGGACGAAAGUCUGACCGAGCAACGCCGCGUGAGUGAAGAAGGUUUUCGGAUCGUAAAACUCUGUUGUUAGAGAAGAACAAGGGUGAGAGUAACUGUUCAAUGUGUGACGGUAUCUUACCAGAAAGGAACGGCUAAAUACGUGCUAG
RNAcentral lists this ribosomal RNA (164 nucleotides) under uncultured bacterium. Its description in RNAcentral is "partial 16S ribosomal RNA". It matches the Rfam family "Bacterial small subunit ribosomal RNA", at positions 355 to 511 of the family's 1533-position model. The record is from RNAcentral.